RNAcentral lists this unclassified non-coding RNA (26 nucleotides) under Saccharomyces cerevisiae (brewer's yeast). Its description in RNAcentral is "RNA (26-MER) from Saccharomyces cerevisiae (PDB 6YMC, chain B)". Lineage: Eukaryota; Fungi; Ascomycota; Saccharomycetes; Saccharomycetales; Saccharomycetaceae. The record is from RNAcentral.
UCUCUGGUUAGGAAACUAACUAGGGA